GCCCAGCUAAUGUUUUGUAUUUUUAGUAGAGACGGGGUUUCACCAUGUUGACCAGGAUGGUCCCUAUCUCUUGACCUGGUGAUCCACCCGCCUCGGCCUCCCAAAGUGCUGGGAUUACA
Long non-coding RNA from Sapajus apella (tufted capuchin), 119 nucleotides. RefSeq lists it as uncharacterized. The transcript has 3 exons. The record is from RefSeq and is a predicted model, not a curated record. NCBI's taxonomy places the organism in Eukaryota, Metazoa, Chordata, Mammalia, Primates, Cebidae.